This 252-nucleotide ribosomal RNA is filed under the name uncultured bacterium. RNAcentral's name for it is "partial 16S ribosomal RNA". It matches the Rfam family "Bacterial small subunit ribosomal RNA", at positions 524 to 775 of the family's 1533-position model. The record is from RNAcentral.
GACAGAGGGGGCAAGCGUUGCUCGGAAUUACUGGGCGUAAAGGGCGCGUAGGCGGGAUGGCAAGUCGGUCGUGAAAUCCUUCGGCUCAACCGAAGAACGUCGAUCGAUACUGCUGUUCUUGAGGGUUGCAGAGGAGACUGGAAUUCCCGGUGUAGCGGUGAAAUGUGUAGAGAUCGGGAGGAACACCGGUGGCGAAGGCGGGUCUCUGGGCAAUUCCUGACGCUGAGGCGCGAAAGCGUGGGGAGCAAACGG